GCCACCCAGGCUCCACUUUCCUGCUUCUCUUUGAGGACACAGUCUGUUCACAGGAUGUCCCUGCUGGAAGCAUUCACCUUCUUGUCCUUCUGGACGCUUGGACUUGGGUUAUCAAAAUUGGAGCAGUCUCAGAUAUCCAUUUCCACAGAAGUAAAGAAAAGUGUUGUCAUACUUUGCAAGGUAUCAAGCACAAAUUUUGAAAACGACAUCAUUCACUGGUACCGGCAAAAACCAAAUCAGGCUUUGGAACAUCUGAUUUAUGUGAGCUCAACAAAAAGCCCAGCUCGCAGUAACCAAGGUGGGAGGAACAACAAAUAUCAGGCAGAAAAGAAUUCUCAAAGUCUCACUUCAAUGCUGACCAUAAAUUUCAUAGAAAAAGAAGAUGUGGCCAUUUACUACUGUGCUGGCUGGACUAUAUGGAAGAAAACUCUUGGUGAUGGAACAAAACUUGUCAUCACAGAGAGAAGCCUUGAUUCAUCAGAUAUUGCUCCUAAGCCCACAAUUUUUCUUCCUUCGGUUGCUGAAAUAAAUCUUCAUAAGGCUGGGACAUAUCUUUGUCUCCUUGAGAAAUUUUUCCCCGAUGUUAUUAAGGUAUAUUGGAAGGAAAAGGACGGCAAUGCAAUUCUGGCAUCCCAGCAGGGAAAUACCAUGAAGACUAAGGACACGUACAUGAAAUUCAGCUGGCUGACCGUGACUGCAAAAUCAAUGGAUAAAGAACACAAAUGCAUCGUCAAACACGAGAAUAAUGAAAGAGGAGUUGAUAAAGAGAUUCUUUUUCCUUCAAUAAAUAAAGGAGAUCUGACAGAAGUUGUGAGAAUACAGGACCAUGAGCCAAGGAGUGCAAAAAAUAAAAGUCUCGAGUCUGAAAAAGAGGUUGCUGGUAUCAAUUCUACAAUAGAUGAUUGUCUGAAAGAUAAAGGUGAUUUACUGCAGUUGCAGCUCACCAAUACCUCCGCCUACUACACCUACAUCCUCCUCCUCCUCAAGAGCCUGGUCUACUUUGCCAUCAUUUUCUUCUGUCUGUUUAGGAGAACAGCAGUCUGUGGCCAUGGAAAGAGUUCAUAACACAUGAUGGCACAAAAGGAUUAAUUUUUCUGCAUUUCUUUCCCCUGGACGUGUCUACUGAGGAUCUCGCUGGACUUCCUUUCUGAGUUUGGAUUAUUUCAAUUCACAUGCAUUUUUCUAUCAUGUCACUAUUGUAUAGUGGUUUUCAAACCACUGGGCAAAGACAAUUUCUCUCUGUUAUAAUAACCAAUUAGGGCAUGACUCAGGUGCAGGGCCCAAGGGUACCCUUUAGCACCACCCUUCCCAUAAUCUCAAUCAGCUCCUCUAGCAAACCCACAUAAUCAUGCCUUCUGAGCAUAGAUAGCAUGCAGCUCCUAAUCCCAUUCCUUAGUGCUCUUUAUCCAGAUAACUGCCUCAAAGCUUUCUGUUUCACACACCUUGAAACCACCAUCUCAGUUACUUGUAUUCUGCAUUUCAUUUUUUAUAAUAGUGACAAUAAAUUUUUAAUAAUCAACA
Non-coding RNA from Phyllostomus hastatus (greater spear-nosed bat), 1521 nucleotides. The record is from the annotation of a RefSeq genome assembly. Lineage: Eukaryota; Metazoa; Chordata; Mammalia; Chiroptera; Phyllostomidae.